GGUUGGCGCGCGCCGGGGAAACGACCGUUAGCGUCGCCAUGGCGGCGGGGCGGCGGUUGACGGGCGGCGGUUGGAGGGCCCGGCGUGAGGCACCGCGGGGACGGCGCUGCCGAGGGGUGCGAGCCCGGCACGGCCCGGUUUGUCUGCCCCCACGAUGCAGGUGUCAGUAAUUUCUAAAGCGAAGGUUGAAUGAAGCCUUACUACGAAGAUACCACCAUCUCUCUAUGAAGUUAUCACUGACUGCAGGACUGAAGCUGUCCAAACUCAGCAUAACUCAACAUUGUCAGUUUAGAACAUUUCAACCCCCCACCCAUUAAAUUCAACAUGAUAGCACCACAUUUAACCCAACUCAGAAAUUCCGUGUGGAUCCAGGAAACUGAAGUUUAUUGCUUUGGGAGAACACCUUGCAUUUGCAAGUUCGUGGACCACAAGUGGAGAUACUUUUUCAUUUGUUCUAAGGGAAGUUUCCUCCGGCCGUAUAACCUGCCUCAUGGUAACAUGGUCAAUGAAACAGCAACACACAGUGGUACGGGAGCCAUCCAGUGGACUACUGUGAAACACACAGCCAAGACAAAUUAGAAACCAUCUUGGAGGUUUUUCUGCCUUUUUGAUUUCAAGAUGUUGGGUUUUGUCCCUUUUGUUCAAAACCUGCUUGUACUAUUAAAUGCCAAAUUCCUUUACUUCUUGCAUUCAUUUUGAAGAACUAAUUUUCCCAAAGAUGUGAAAUGUCUUUAGUUUAAGAUAGUCGUAAUAGCUUAAGUUAUGGAGCUGCAUUUUUUACAAUACUCGUACAACUAGAUUGUGAACACUGGGCUCCAUUUUUUUCAGUUUACACAAAGGAAAUGGAAAUGUACAGUAUGAAAAUGAAUGAUCGUGAAAGAUGCUCAUUUAUCGCCUUGAUUUCUGUUUUGAAAUAAAGUUUAGUCGUAAUGUAUUUUGUUUUAAAUG
RNAcentral lists this long non-coding RNA (948 nucleotides) under Anser brachyrhynchus (Pink-footed goose). RNAcentral describes it as "lncRNA (ENSABRG00000021789.1)". The record is from RNAcentral. Lineage: Eukaryota; Metazoa; Chordata; Aves; Anseriformes; Anatidae.